GACGAACGCUGGCGGCGUGCUUAAUACAUGCAAGUCAACUUGACUUUAGAUAGCAAUAUCGAAAAGUAGGGUGGCGCACGGGUGCGUAACGCGUAGGUAAUCUGCCCUGAGGUCUGACAUAACCCGUCGAAAGGCGGGCUAACAUCAGAUGAUAUAUAAUCACGACAUCGUGGAAAUAUCAAAUCUUCGGAGCCUUGGGAUGAGUCUGCGUCUGAUUAGGUAGUUGGCGGAGUAAUAGCCACCAAGCCUACGAUCAGUAGCUGGUCUGAGAGGAUGAUCAGCCACACUGGAACUGAGACACGGUCCAGACUCCUACGGGAGGCAGCAGUAAGGAAUAUUGCUCAAU
Molecule: ribosomal RNA, 346 nt
Filed under: uncultured bacterium
Lineage: Bacteria
Description: bacterial SSU rRNA
Rfam family: Bacterial small subunit ribosomal RNA
Source: RNAcentral